Molecule: ribosomal RNA, 463 nt
Filed under: uncultured bacterium
Lineage: Bacteria
Description: bacterial SSU rRNA
Rfam family: Bacterial small subunit ribosomal RNA
Source: RNAcentral
GAUGAACGCUGGCGGCGUGCUUAACACAUGCAAGUCGAACGGGAAAUACUUUAUUGAAACUUUGGUGGAUUUAAUUUAUUUCUAGUGGCGGACGGGUGAGUAACGCGUGGGUAACCUGCCUUAUACUGGGGGAUAACAGCCAGAAAUGACUGCUAAUACCGCAUAAGCGCACAGAACCGCAUGGUUCCGUGUGAAAAACUCCGGUGGUAUAAGAUGGACCCGCGUUGGAUUAGCUAGUUGGCAGGGCAGCGGCCUACCAAGGCGACGAUCAGUAGCCGGCCUGAGAGGGCGACCGGCCACAUUGGGACUGAGACACGGCCCAAACUCCUACGGGAGGCAGCAGUGGGGAAUAUUGCACAAUGGGGGAAACCCUGAUGCAGCGACGCCGCGUGAGCGAAGAAGUAUUUCGGUAUGUAAAGCUCUAUCAGCAGGGAAGAUAAUGACGGUACCUGACUAAGAAGCC